RNAcentral lists this ribosomal RNA (1303 nucleotides) under Episymploce sp. RNAcentral's name for it is "16S ribosomal RNA". The stretch from base 871 to 1231 matches the Rfam family "Archaeal large subunit ribosomal RNA", at positions 2150 to 2716 of the family's 2987-position model. Lineage: Eukaryota; Metazoa; Arthropoda; Insecta; Blattodea; Blattellidae. The record is from RNAcentral.
AAUGUAAAAAUUUACUUUAUUUAUUUAUAUACUUACUUUAAAAGAAAAUAUUUAAUUGUUAUUGUAAUUAUUUGUGAAAUAAUUUGUUUGGUUAUAGUUUAUUAGUACUUUGAGGGAUUAUUGAAAUACUCUAUUUAUUUAUAAAAGUUGAUUUGAUUAGUCGUACCUUGUGUAUCAGGAUUUAUUAAAUAAAAAAUAUUUAUUUUAUUAUUCCCGAUUUUAAGAGAGCUAUAAUAUUAUAUUAGUUAAUGUAAAAUAAUUAUUUUUAAUAAUAUUCUAGUGGUGAAAUGUUAAUCGUUCUUAAGGGUAUCUGGUUUUUUAAGAAAUGAAUUUAAUUCAGGUAUGUGGUUUAAUAUAUAAUUUUAAUUAGUAAUUAAUAUUUAACUAUUACUAAUACUUUGGGGGACAAGCUUUGAAGUAUAUUUUAAUAAAUUUUUAUUUGUAGUAAGUGAAGUAGAUUUAGAAGUGAUUAUUAUUAAAAGGAUGUUAAAAUUUUACUUAUUUAUUAAGUUAUUUAUAUUUAGUUUUUAAUUUUUUAUUAAAAAUAAUUAUUUAAUUAUAAAUUAAUUUAUAUUAUGAUAAAAUUAGUAUAAUUUUUAUUGUAAAAUAUAUAUAUUUGGUUUAGAGAAAGUUAUUAGGAAUUAGGCAAAUUAUAUGUUCGCCUGUUUAACAAAAACAUCUCUUUUCGUUUAUUUGAAAAGUAUAACCUGCCCACUGAAAAAUUUGAAGGGCCGCGGUAAUUUGACCGUGCAAAGGUAGCAUAAUCAUUAGUCUCUUAAUUAGGGGCUGGAAUGAAUGGUUGGACGAGAUAUAGACUGUCUUGUAAUUUUAAUUAGAACUUAAUUAUUAAGUAAAAAAGCUUAAAUUUAAUUAUGGGACGAGAAGACCCUAUAGAGUUUAAUAAUCAAUUUUAUGUUAUUUGUUGGAGUAUAAAACUAUAUAUUUUAUUAUUUUGUUGGGGUGAUGGGAAGAUAAAAUUAACUCUUUUUAUUAUUGAAUAUUAAUGUAUAGAAUAUUGAUCCAUUAAUAGUGAUUAUAAGUCUAAAUUACCUUAGGGAUAACAGCGUAAUCUUUUUUGAGAGUUCAUAUCGACAAUAAGGGUUGCGACCUCGAUGUUGGAUUAAGAUAAACAUUAGGUGUAGAAGUUUAAAAUGUUAGGUCUGUUCGACCUUUAAAAUCUUACAUGAUCUGAGUUCAAACCGGCGUGAGCCAGGUUGGUUUCUAUCUAUAAUUUAUUAUAAUAUUUUAGUACGAAAGGACCAAAUAUUAAAAAUAAUUUUAUUUUAUUGAUUUUUAUUAAUUG